UGGGGGAGGAGAAGUGUUGGCAUGGGGCGUAGUCGGUGUAGUAGCCACGGUUUGAAUGAAGGAGACGGAAAUAUGUGUUUCUGUGAAUAACAGAUGAGUAGCUGUUCCCGCAGGCAAAACAGGGGAAAACGGAGUGGAAUUGUUUGGUUUAGGGAAGGUGCACGGCCAAAGGAACAGACAAGAAAGUGCGACGAGUACGCCUGUUGUCUAAUAAACUGGGCAGUGUUUUGCAAAAUUUCACGACGUGGAUGUUGAAAAGUGCAUUUUAUUCCAGUCUGGAAAACCCCUGCGCUUGGAUUUUCUUUGUGCCGCAAGGUCCUUAGCAUUCGGAUGUAGCCCCUCGCAAAGAAAGGCAAGUCGCCUAAUUUUUGUAGUCUUUUUUCCCCUCACAGCGAAUUGAGGGAACGACGCCUGUCUUCGCUUUGUGUUUUUCACCUUUUAACUUUUGGAGCCAAGUAAAACUCAUUUUAAGCGUCGCAUUGUCCUGUCCGCGUCGCUGUGCUCUAAGCCUGCAGUAAUUUAAUAGUUCUUGGCGUAUUGGUGGAUAGGGUUAUUGGAAUACGGUGAACUCGGUGCUGACAUGCAAACAAAAUGGAACCGGAUUGAUGAACCCUGCUGGGUAUUCUUUCAUUUCCUUUGUGUGGAGUCUCGUCAAAUUGUUUCUUAAACCCAAAUACUUGAUUUCAAUAAAAUAAUUCUUAAUGUUUCCACUCA
Non-coding RNA from Electrophorus electricus (electric eel), 714 nucleotides. The record is from RefSeq and is a predicted model, not a curated record. Lineage: Eukaryota; Metazoa; Chordata; Actinopteri; Gymnotiformes; Gymnotidae.